AGUCAGAUGUGAAAGCCCGGGGCUUAACCUCGGAAUUGCAUUUGAAACUGGCAGGCUAGAGUCUUGUAGAGGGGGGUAGAAUUUCAGGUGUAGCGGUGAAAUGCGUAGAGAUCUGAAGGAAUACCAGUGGCGAAGGCGGCCCCCUGGACAAAGACUGACGCUCAGAUGCGAAAGCGUGGGGAGCAAACAGGAUUAGAUACCCUGGUAGUCCACGCCGUAAACGAU
This 225-nucleotide ribosomal RNA is filed under the name Photobacterium damselae subsp. piscicida. RNAcentral describes it as "partial 16S ribosomal RNA". It matches the Rfam family "Bacterial small subunit ribosomal RNA", at positions 586 to 810 of the family's 1533-position model. Lineage: Bacteria; Pseudomonadati; Pseudomonadota; Gammaproteobacteria; Vibrionales; Vibrionaceae. The record is from RNAcentral.